This is a long non-coding RNA of Homo sapiens (human), 1278 nucleotides long. Ensembl annotates it as SORCS3 antisense RNA 1. Its record names the gene SORCS3-AS1. NCBI's taxonomy places the organism in Eukaryota, Metazoa, Chordata, Mammalia, Primates, Hominidae. The record is from Ensembl.
GAGACAAGCCCUAUCAGCACAUCCCAGAAAAUGGGAAACCGAAUCACCCAGGGGAUGGCAAGGAAUGACCAGAGGGAAAGUUCCAGUUCUGUCCAACAUGCACUACCAGCCCCAUUUUGGAAAAGAACAGAUUUAAUAGACCUCACCAAGACAAGAAUUGUUUUUCGUCAAAGGAAAUCAAAGGAACAAACAAGAGGCAGUGACCACCAGAGACUUCACCUUUUGGUGUAGGAAAACCCAAGCAGACAGUGUCUACAUCCAUCAAAGCCCAAUGUAUUAAAUAUUUAUUGAAUAAGAACCCACGGACUCUUCCUUACCAGAGCCUUAGAUUGCCAUGUGCGUCUGAUUGCUCCAAAGACAAGACUAUUGUGAUUUUGGCCCCAUAUGCAUUUUAGAGUAACAAGUCUUACCAGAAAAAUAAUAGCCAGCCCCAGCUUAAUUCCUAGAGAAACUCAAACCACCUUGUUAAGAACAAUCCCAGAGGAGAGUUUAUACUAAGGAGCACUACACAAUGCUGUUUGCCAUCUCUGGGCCCUCUAAAAGCAAGCCCAACCUUGGAAAAGGAAUGUCUGCCACCAGGGAAACGUGGCUGCACUGCUGGAGGAAGAACUUGAUCAUGACGGGCAAUGCUUGGAAGUAAAGAAGCAUCUGCUGCCUUGGAAAGGCUUGGUCAGGGCAAUCAUUGUCACAGGCCAUGUUUUUUCUCUGACUAUCUCUUGGAAUUUCAGAGUGACUAAGUGAUUACUACAAUUAGAGCAAGAGGCGGUGUCUUCCAGAAGUCGGUGUGGGCAGCACCAAACCAUCCACCAUGCAUCAGAGAAAAGCCAGACAGCUGGAAGGCUCUAUUCCCAGGCCACUCUCCAGUCCUCAAACAUGUCACCAUCUCUCAUGCCUCCUUACUGGGCCCAUGCUGUCUCCUUGACCAGGAAUGUCCUCCACCCCGAUCCCAUCCCCAUAGCCCCCUUCACUGUAAGAUCUGGGCCCAGCAAAUUGCCCAGCUCCUCUUCUCUGAAUGCUUCUUUAAUGUCUCUGAGAAGGAGUUCCUUCCUCCUUUACUGUCCAUCUCUUCCACCACAUGAGGGGUUUGGGGGAGGUCUUUGAAGACAAGGGACCCUUCCUCAUUCAUAUUUGAAUACUGAGCCCAAGCACACGCCCCUAGCAUCUGCAAUACACACAUGUCAAGGUGAAUGGGGAGAUAGAUGCCAAGAUCCUUGAGCGCUGCAAAUCUUCACUGCCAACUUCAACUACUCCAAAAUAAAGUCAAAAUUUUAAAAGUAA